CCACCCUCAAGCGCAAGCUUGGUGUUGGGGAUCGCCCCUCCUCGCGAGGCGGCGGCCCUUGAAUCCAUCGGCGGUGCCGGUGCGGCCUGGAGCGCAGCAGCGAUGCAGCUUCCUAGGGCCCGCUCGACGCCUGCCGCGAAAGCAGCGGCUGCUCGCAGUCGGAAACUUCAAA
Molecule: unclassified non-coding RNA, 172 nt
Filed under: uncultured Mycoleptodiscus
Lineage: Eukaryota; Fungi; Ascomycota; Sordariomycetes; Magnaporthales; Magnaporthaceae
Description: sequence contains ITS2
Source: RNAcentral